RNAcentral lists this long non-coding RNA (221 nucleotides) under Mytilus galloprovincialis (Mediterranean mussel). Lineage: Eukaryota; Metazoa; Mollusca; Bivalvia; Mytilida; Mytilidae. The record is from RNAcentral.
GUUUUAAAUAUUUAAAAUUUAACUGAUGAGAAUGGAUAAAUAUCGUAUUACACGAGAUUUGGUGGUGGAAUCUGUUUCUCUAAUGAUUUUCUAACAUUAUGCAGGCAAACUUAUUCCUUCAUUUCGAAUGAUCUGCAAAAAAGAUGUGACGUCAUCAGGCAUGGUCGCCUUUUUUCAUGUUGUCACAAUAGGAAAUUCAGAGGAAAGCAAGAAAAUUCAUC